This 468-nucleotide ribosomal RNA is filed under the name uncultured bacterium. Its description in RNAcentral is "partial 16S ribosomal RNA". It matches the Rfam family "Bacterial small subunit ribosomal RNA", at positions 28 to 507 of the family's 1533-position model. The record is from RNAcentral.
GACGAACGCUGGCGGCGUGCUUAACACAUGCAAGUCGAACGAAAAGGCCCGGCUGUUGUGGGCUGCUCGAGUGAGGGGCGGGUGAGUGAGACGUGCGUAACCUGCCCGUGACUUUGGGGGGACUAAAGGAAAGAAAGGCUAGUACCGGAUAGGAACGACUGCUUCAUGGUGGGGGGGAGAGAGGUUCGGCGGUUGGGGAAGGACGGGCGGCUCAGCAGCUGGGGGGUGGGGUAGGGGAGUACGAAGGCUGGGAAGGGGAGCCGGACUGGGAGGGUGACCGGCCACAUUGGGAUUGAGAUACGGCCCAGACUCCUACGGGCGGAAGCAGUGGGGAAUAUUGCACGAUGGGCGGAAGCCUGAUGCAGCAACGCCGCGUGCGGGAUGACGGCCUUCGGGUUGUAAACCGCUUCCGCCUGUGACGAAGCGUGAGUGACGGUAAUGGGUAAAGAAGCACCGGCUAACUACGUG